AUUGAACGCUGGCGGCAGGCUUAACACAUGCAAGUCGAGCGGGGUGAUGGUGCUUGCACUAUCACUUAGCGGCGGACGGGUGAGUAAUGCUUAGGAAUCUGCCUAUUAGUGGGGGACAACAUCUCGAAAGGGAUGCUAAUACCGCAUACGUCCUACGGGAGAAAGCAGGGGAUCACUUGUGACCUUGCGCUAAUAGAUGAGCCUAAGUCGGAUUAGCUAGUUGGUGGGGUAAAGGCCUACCAAGGCGACGAUCUGUAGCGGGUCUGAGAGGAUGAUCGGCCACACUGGGACUGAGACACGGGCCAGAGUCCUACGGGAGGCAGCAGUGUGGAAUAUUGGACAAUGGGGGGAACCCUGAUCCAGCCAUGCCGCGUGUGUGAAGAAGGCCUUAUGGUUGUAAAGCACUUUAAGCGAGGAGGAGGCUCGUUUGGUUAAUACCCAAGAUGAGUGGACGUUACUCGCAGAAUAAGCACCGGCUAACUCUGUGCCAGCAGCCGCGGUAA
This 503-nucleotide ribosomal RNA is filed under the name uncultured bacterium. RNAcentral's name for it is "partial 16S ribosomal RNA". It matches the Rfam family "Bacterial small subunit ribosomal RNA", at positions 30 to 523 of the family's 1533-position model. The record is from RNAcentral.